AUUCAGCUGACGAGUCCCAAAUAGGACGAAAUGCUCGUUAUCCUGGAU
RNAcentral lists this non-coding RNA (48 nucleotides) under Trichobilharzia regenti. Lineage: Eukaryota; Metazoa; Platyhelminthes; Trematoda; Strigeidida; Schistosomatidae. The record is from RNAcentral.